Molecule: ribosomal RNA, 253 nt
Filed under: uncultured bacterium
Lineage: Bacteria
Description: partial 16S ribosomal RNA
Rfam family: Bacterial small subunit ribosomal RNA
Source: RNAcentral
UACGUAGGAGACGAGCGUUGUCCGGAGUUACUGGGCGUAAAGGGUGCGCAGGUGGUUGUGCGCGUGGGGGGUGAAAUCGCCCGGCUUAACCUGGGAACUGCGUCUGAUACUGGAGGGCUUGAGUGCGGGAGAGGGAUGUGGAAUUCCAGGUGUAGCGGUGAAAUGCGUAGAUAUCUGGAGGAACACCGGUGGCGAAGGCGGCAUCCUGGACCGACACUGACGCUGAGGCGCGAAAGCGUGGGGAGCAAACAGG